This 254-nucleotide ribosomal RNA is filed under the name uncultured bacterium. RNAcentral describes it as "partial 16S ribosomal RNA". It matches the Rfam family "Bacterial small subunit ribosomal RNA", at positions 524 to 776 of the family's 1533-position model. The record is from RNAcentral.
UACGUAGGGGGCAAGCGUUGUCCGGAUUUAUUGGGCGUAAAGAACUCGUAGGCGGCUCGGUAAGUCGGAUGUGAAACCUCCAGGCUCAACCUGGAGACGCCAUCUGAUACUGCCGUGGCUUGAGUCCGGUAGAGGAGCAGGGAAUUCCUGGUGUAGCGGUGAAAUGCGUAGAUAUCGAGAGGAACACCUGCGGCGAAGGCGGGUUGCUGGGCUGAUACUGACGCUGAGGCGCGAAAGCUAGGGGAGCGAACGGG